AUUGAACGCUGGCGGCAGGCUUAACACAUGCAAGUCGAGCGGGGGAAGGUAGCUUGCUACCGGACCUAGCGGCGGACGGGUGAGUAAUGCUUAGGAAUCUGCCUAUUAGUGGGGGACAACAUCUCGAAAGGGAUGCUAAUACCGCAUACGUCCUACGGGAGAAAGCAGGGGAUCUUCGGACCUUGCGCUAAUAGAUGAGCCUAAGUCGGAUUAGCUAGUUGGUGGGGUAAAGGCCUACCAAGGCGACGAUCUGUAGCGGGUCUGAGAGGAUGAGCAGCCACACUGGGACUGAGACACGGCGCAGACUCCUACGGGAGGCAGCAGUGGGGAAUAUUGGACAAUGGGGGGAACCCUGAUCCAGCCAUGCCGCGUGUGUGAAGAAGGCCUUAUGGUUGUAAAGCACUUUAAGCGAGGAGGAGGCUACUCUAGUUAAUACCUAGGGAUAGUGGACGUUACUCGCAGAAUAAGCACCGGCUAACUCUGUGCCAGCCGCCGCGGUAA
Molecule: ribosomal RNA, 501 nt
Filed under: uncultured bacterium
Lineage: Bacteria
Description: partial 16S ribosomal RNA
Rfam family: Bacterial small subunit ribosomal RNA
Source: RNAcentral